AAUAGAUACCCCGGUAGUCCUAGCUGUAAACGAUGAGCACUGGGUUGAGGGGACUUCCACAUCCCCUCGGCCGUAGCGAAAGCGUUAAGUGCUCCGCCUGGGGAGUAUGGCCGCAAGGCUGAAACUCAAAGGAAUUGACGGGGGCUCACACAAGCGGUGGAGGAUGUGGCUUAAUUCGAGGCUACGCGAAGAACCUUAUCCUAGAUUUGACAUGGUUGAGAAUCUCCUUGAAAGAGGAGAGUGCCCUUCGGGGAGCUCUUUCACAGGUGCUGCAUGGCUGUCGUCAGCUCGUGUCGUGAGAUGUUGGGUUAAGUCCCUUAACGAGCGAAACCCUUAUCUUUAGUUGCCAGCGGGUAAUGCCGGGGACUCUAAAGAGACUGCCGGUGUCAAACCGGAGGAAGGUGGGGAUGACGUCAAGUCCUCAUGGCCUUUAUGUCUAGGGCUGCACACGUCCUACAAUGGCACGUACAAAGGGAAGCCAAGCCGCGAGGCCGCGCUAAUCCCAAAAAGCGUGCCCCAGUUCGGAUUGCAGGCUGC
RNAcentral lists this ribosomal RNA (537 nucleotides) under uncultured bacterium. RNAcentral describes it as "bacterial SSU rRNA". It matches the Rfam family "Bacterial small subunit ribosomal RNA", at positions 777 to 1308 of the family's 1533-position model. The record is from RNAcentral.